Solanum lycopersicum (tomato) is the source of this 116-nucleotide non-coding RNA. The record is from Rfam. NCBI's taxonomy places the organism in Eukaryota, Viridiplantae, Streptophyta, Magnoliopsida, Solanales, Solanaceae.
AGCCACGCAAUGAGCACAUAGCGAAUUAUUCUUUCGCCUUUUACUAAAGAAUACCGUGUGAGCAUGGCAAAUAGUGGCAUACGCCUAUUUUUAGAGGGAGAAAUCCCAACAAUACU